RNAcentral lists this transfer RNA (70 nucleotides) under Ginsburgellus novemlineatus. RNAcentral's name for it is "tRNA-Pro". The record is from RNAcentral. Lineage: Eukaryota; Metazoa; Chordata; Actinopteri; Gobiiformes; Gobiidae.
AAGGAGAGGAGAUUUUAACUCCGACCACUAGCUCCCAAAGCUAGUAUUCUAAAUUAAACUAUUCCUUGAC